CUUCACCUCCCGGGCUCAUGGACCAAAUAGGCCCAAUUUUAACAGGUCACACAUUCACAUGGCAGCCGCACGAUAUCCGCAGGAAGCCGCUUCGAUGAACCCGUCCGGGGAGCGGGCAACUCGUCCCAAAGCUGGCUGAUGCAUCAAGACCCUGAAUGCUAAAGAAGGAGGCCUUAUUCCGGACGUCCCUUCCUUCAGACGUUGCCGACGCAUCGGCCAUCGGCCUCCGUCCAGAGCAGAACAUCACAGAUGAUGUCAUACUCCAUGGGGGAUUCGGGGCUGAGGUUUUGGUGGAG
Molecule: long non-coding RNA, 296 nt
Organism: Gasterosteus aculeatus aculeatus (three-spined stickleback)
Lineage: Eukaryota; Metazoa; Chordata; Actinopteri; Perciformes; Gasterosteidae
Source: Ensembl